GACGAACGCUGGCGGCGUGCUUAACACAUGCAAGUCGAACGGAAAGGCCCUGCUUUUGUGGGGUGCUCGAGUGGCGAACGGGUGAGUAACACGUGAGUAACCUGCCCUUGACUUUGGGAUAACUUCAGGAAACUGGGGCUAAUACCGGAUAGGAGCUCCUGCUGCAUGGUGGGGGUUGGAAAGUUUCGGCGGUUGGGGAUGGACUCGCGGCUUAUCAGCUUGUUGGUGGGGUAGUGGCUUACCAAGGCUUUGACGGGUAGCCGGCCUGAGAGGGUGACCGGCCACAUUGGGCCUGAGGUAGGGCCCAGACGCGAACGGGGGGCAGCGGGGGGGAAUAUUGCACAAUGGGCGGAAGCCUGAUGCAGAAACGCCGGGUGCGGAAUGCCGGCCUUCGGGUUGAAAACCGCUUUCGCCUGUGACGAAGCGUGAGUGACGGUAAUGGGUAAAGAAGCACCGGCUAACUACGUG
Molecule: ribosomal RNA, 468 nt
Filed under: uncultured bacterium
Lineage: Bacteria
Description: partial 16S ribosomal RNA
Rfam family: Bacterial small subunit ribosomal RNA
Source: RNAcentral